This is a non-coding RNA of Lepisosteus oculatus (spotted gar), 258 nucleotides long. Lineage: Eukaryota; Metazoa; Chordata; Actinopteri; Semionotiformes; Lepisosteidae. The record is from RefSeq and is a predicted model, not a curated record.
AGUCACGUGUUUCCAAUACCAAGUGACUUAAAGAGCGUCCAAUUAGAUGGCGUUGCUAGGGUUCAGUAACCAUAACAAAGUGCAGGCUGUGGCAUUGGUAAAUCAGCCAAAUUUGCUUUUAAAUUGGGACCGGAGUGGGAUCGAGUAAGAUGUCGCGAUUAUUUCUCAGUGGCAAAGCGGUUUAGAAUUAAAUUGAUAUUACUAAAACAUAAAGUCAAAGGAGGAGAAGAAUCGCAAAGCUCAACAGAAGAAAGACAA